GUCGAUGGACAACGGGUUGAUAUUCCCGUACCGGCGAAAAACCGUCAAACGCUGAUCCAUGAGUGCUAAGUAUGUGAAGUUGGGUUUGAUCCUUCGGGUGAUUUCCUUUCGGAGUGUACGAACCCGAAUUGGUGAGGUGAGCGUAUUAACAGGUGUGACGCAGGAAGGUAGUUGAUCCCGGGCGAUGGUUGUCCCGGGCUAAGCAUGUAGCCCGAACCGUAGGCAAAUCCGCGGUUCAUUUAAGGGUGAGAUGUGAUGGGGACCCGUAAGGGGAAGUCAGUGAUCCUAUGCUGCCAAGAAAAGCAUCGACGCGAGGUUUUAGCCGCCCGUACCCCAAACCGACACAGGUGGUCAGGUAGAGAAUACUAAGGAGAUCGAGAGAAUCAUGGUGAAGGAACUCGGCAAAAUGCCCCCGUAACUUCGGGAGAAGGGGGGCCAUCCACUUAUACGGAUUUACUCCGGAAAGGGUGUGGUGGCCGCAGAGACCAGUGGGAAGCGACUGUUUACUAAAAACACAGGUCCGUGCGAACAAGCAAUUGGAUGUAUACGGACUGACGCCUGCCCGGUGCUGGAAGGUUAAGAGGAGAGGUCAACCCUUCGGGGUGAAGCUUUGAAUUUAAGCCCCAGUAAACGGCGGUGGUAACUAUAACCAUCCUAAGGUAGCGAAAUUCCUUGUCGGGUAAGUUCCGACCUGCACGAAUGGCGUAACGACUUCCCAGCUGUCUCCACCAUGAACUCGGCGAAAUUGCACUACGAGUAAAGAUGCUCGUUACGCGCAGAAGGACGGAAAGACCCCGUGACCUUUACUACAGCUUGGUAUUGGUGUUCGGUGUGGCUUGUGUAGGAUAGGUGGGAGACUGUGAAGCAGGGACGCUAGUUCUUGUGGAGUCAUUGUUGAAAUACCACUCUGGUCAUAUUGGAUAUCUAACUACGGACCCUGAUCGGGUUCUGGGACAGUGCCUGGUGGGUAGUUUAACUGGGGCGGUUGCCUCCUAAAGAGUAACGGAGGCGCCCAAAGGUUCCCUCAACCUGGUUGGCAAUCAGGUGGCGAGUGUAAGUGCACAAGGGAGCUUGACUGUGAGACUGACAGGUCGAGCAGGGACGAAAGUCGGGACUAGUGAUCCGGCAGUGGCUUGUGGAAGCGCUGUCGCUCAACGGAUAAAAGGUACCUCGGGGAUAACAGGUUGAUCUUGCCCAAGAGUCCAUAUCGACGGCAUGGUUUGGCACCUCGAUGUCGGCUCGUCGCAUCCUGGGGCUGGAGUAGGUCCCAAGGGUUGGGCUGUUCGCCCAUUAAAGCGGUACGCGAGCUGGGUUUAGAACGUCGUGAGACAGUUCGGUCCCUAUCCUCUGCGCGCGUUGGAAAUUUGAGAGGAUCUGACCCUAGUACGAGAGGACCGGGUUGGACGGACCUCUGGUGUGCCAGUUGUUCUGCCAAGGGCAUGGCUGGUUGGCUACGUUCGGGAUGGAUAACCGCUGAAAGCAUCUAAGCGGGAAGCCGGCCUCGAGAUGAGAUUUCCGUCACCCUUGUGGUGGUGAGGCUCCCAGGAGAUUACUGGGUUGAUAGGCCAGAUGUGGAAGCACUGUAAGGUGUGGAGCUGACUGGUACUAAUAAGCCGAUGGCUC
This 1623-nucleotide ribosomal RNA is filed under the name metagenome. Its description in RNAcentral is "bacterial LSU rRNA". It matches the Rfam family "Bacterial large subunit ribosomal RNA", at positions 1414 to 2925 of the family's 2925-position model. The record is from RNAcentral.